CUUCCGUCCUCCCCGCACAGGAGGGCGGACCGAGGAACCGGCGCUCUCUGCCCUGACUGCUCCGGCUCCUCACCUUCGGCCGAACGGGACCGCACACCCACGGCCGAUGCUGCUCCGGGCUGCGGUGCCGGGAGGGUUGAGGGUCCCUCCCAGGCGC
This 157-nucleotide non-coding RNA is filed under the name Streptomyces griseoaurantiacus M045. RNAcentral describes it as "Streptomyces sRNA scr5239". It matches the Rfam family "Streptomyces sRNA scr5239". From Rfam's summary of the family: It inhibits agarase DagA expression by direct base pairing to the dagA coding region, and it represses translation of methionine synthase metE (SCO0985) at the 5' end of its open reading frame. The record is from Rfam by way of RNAcentral. Lineage: Bacteria; Bacillati; Actinomycetota; Actinomycetes; Kitasatosporales; Streptomycetaceae.